Molecule: ribosomal RNA, 303 nt
Filed under: Triticum aestivum (bread wheat)
Lineage: Eukaryota; Viridiplantae; Streptophyta; Magnoliopsida; Poales; Poaceae
Description: partial small subunit ribosomal RNA
Source: RNAcentral
AUGGUCGGAACCACGAUUGCAAGGAUCAAUUCACAGAUACCAAAUGAUAUUAUAACAAGGAGGAUAGUUAUUAUUGCAAGAAGCUUCCACAAUAGGAUAUACAUCAUGUCCAUGGGCAUGAACACAAGUUCAAGGUCGACUCCCACUUCUUCAAUGCAUAACCUUUCAUUCACUACUCUAGAUAAAACUGAUUUCAGUGUCAAAACCUACCUGGUGAAUUAUCAGAGGAGUAUGACCCGUGAAAACUUUCGAGUUCACACAGUUUUAGAGAAGGCAUAUGUUCAACCCAUAGGGGCUUCUUAG